This 862-nucleotide long non-coding RNA is filed under the name Homo sapiens (human). Its description in RNAcentral is "non-protein coding lnc-CREB1-5:1". Lineage: Eukaryota; Metazoa; Chordata; Mammalia; Primates; Hominidae. The record is from RNAcentral.
CUUCUGAGACAGAGUCACUGUCGCCCCGGCUAGAGUGCAGUGGCGUGAUCUCAGCUCACUGCAACCUCCAUCUCCCGGGUUCAAGUGAUUCUCCUGCUUCAGCCUCCCAAGUAGCUGGGAUUACAGGUGCCCACCACCACACCCAGCUAAUUUUUGUAUUUUUAGUAGAGACGGGGUUUCACCAUGUUGGCCAGGCUAGUCUCGAACUCCUGACCUCAGGUGAUCCACCCGCCUUAACCUCCCAAAGUGCUGGGAUUAUAGGCGUGAGCCACUGCACCCAGCUGGAAAAUACUUCUUAAAUGCAAUUUAUAAGCAUGUGUAUUAGUUUCCUAUUGCUGGUAUAACAAAUUACUACAAACUUAGUGGCUUAAAACAACACAGAUGUGUUGUCUUACAGUUCUAGAGGUUAGUUCUAAAUAGGUCUCACUGAGCUAAAUCCACGGUGUCAGCAGAGCUGUGUUCUUUCCUAGAGCUUCUAGGGGAGAAUCUGUUUUCCUGCCUUUUCCAGCAUCUAGCAUUUAUUUUGUUUUGUUUUUCCCUCCUCUGUGGUUGUCAGUGGUCACUUUUUAAAUUUUGGUUUUGUCAGUGUGACUUCCUUUAACAACUUCCUUCCUCUUCUCCUUUGCUAUGGAAAAUAGUAACUAGGAUACCAAUCUAGUUAAACUUGUAAGUAAAAUGAGGUAAAGUGAGAUCCUAAUAAAGAUACAAGAUACUUACAAGUGAAGUGUAUGAGAUUUAAGACAAAACCAGAGUGACGCUGCAGGCAGGACUGCCCAUUCCAUCUGGAAUGCAUGACUGUCUGUCAUCUAUUUGGCUACUUAGAAACUAUUUUUACCUCUUCUCUAUUUUUGUUCUGAAUAGG